GUGGCAGACGGGUGAGUAACGCGUGGGAACGUACCUUUCACUACGGAAUAGCUCUGGGAAACUGGUGGUAAUACCGUAUACGCCCUCCGGGGGAAAGAUUUAUCGGUGAAAGAUCGGCCCGCGUUGGAUUAGCUAGUUGGUGAGGUAAUGGCUCACAAAGGCGACGAUCCAUAGCUGGUCUGAGAGGAUGAUCAGCCACACUGGGACUGAGACACGGCCCAGACUCCUACGGGAGGCAGCAGUGGGGAAUCUUGCACAAUGGGCGAAAGCCUGAUGCAGCCAUGCCGCGUGAAUGAUGAAGGCCUUAGGGUUGUAAAAUUCUUUCGUCAGGGAUGAUAAUGACCGUACCUGAAGAAGAAGCCCCGGCUAACUUCGUGCCAGCAGCCGCGGUAAUACGAAGGGGGCUAGCGUUGUUCGGAAUUACUGGGCGUAAAGCGCACGUAGGCGGACUUUUAAGUCAGGUGUGAAAUCCCGGGGCUCAACCUCGGAACUGCAUUUGAAACUGGAAGUCUGGAGAUCAGGAGAGGUUAGCGGAAUACCGAGUGUAGAGGUGAAAUUCGUAGAUAUUCGGUGGAACACCAGUGGCGAAGGCGGCUAACUGGACUGAUACUGACGCUGAGGUGCGAAAGUGUGGGGAGCAAACAGGAUUAGAUACCCUGGUAGUCCAC
RNAcentral lists this ribosomal RNA (668 nucleotides) under uncultured Hyphomonadaceae bacterium. RNAcentral's name for it is "bacterial SSU rRNA". It matches the Rfam family "Bacterial small subunit ribosomal RNA", at positions 95 to 798 of the family's 1533-position model. Lineage: Bacteria; Pseudomonadati; Pseudomonadota; Alphaproteobacteria; Hyphomonadales; Hyphomonadaceae. The record is from RNAcentral.